This is an RNA transcript of Drosophila grimshawi, 478 nucleotides long. RefSeq lists it as uncharacterized. Lineage: Eukaryota; Metazoa; Arthropoda; Insecta; Diptera; Drosophilidae. The record is from RefSeq and is a predicted model, not a curated record. The transcript is spliced from 3 exons.
AAGUAUAGUGAAGUGUGGCAAUUGUUUUCUGUUGUAUUGUAUAUAAUUGCUAGCUAAUCAUACAUAUAUAUAUAUAUACUGGUCUCGAAUGCUCCAGGUUGGCUUUUUAUUUACAACUUACGAGAAUUGCUUCGCAGAAAUUUUUUAUACAAUAAAACUAAACUUUUGCAGGUAAGACAGCCUGCCAACACUCGCAACAUUCUCAAAAUUCACAGUUUCCACAGAAGAAGAAUCCGAUGGUUGUGUAACGGAUUCGACGCGGGUCAAAAAUAGCCCAAAACGGGGAAAAGCAACCGUUUGACGUUUGACAAACGCUUAACCGUAAACUAGAUCGGUCCUUUCGGAAUGCAACCAGCUGCUUCAGCACUAUCAACACAAUUUUAUAUCGCUAAAAACAUGCAGCCCCAAAAUUUGUAUGUGUCAUCGGGCAAUAACAGUGCUGGCAACACCCGUUCAAAUCAACAGAGUGGAAUAUUUC